UAAUACAGAGGUGCCGAGCGUUAGGCGGAAUCACUGGGCUUAAAGCGUGCGUAGGCGGGCGUCUAAGUGUCUUGUGAAAUCCCGCGGCUCAACCGCGGAACUGUUGGGCAUACUGGACGCCUUGAGGCACACAGGGGCGAGCGGAACAAGUGGUGGAGCGGUGAAAUGCGUAGAUAUCACUUGGAACGCCGACGGUGAAAACAGCUCGCUGGGUGUGUUCUGACGCUGAGGCACGAAAGCCAGGGGAGCGAACGGGAUUAGAUACCCCGGUAGUCCUGGCCCUAAACGAUGUCCACUGGGUCGCGGCGGCUCUGACGCCGUCGCGGCCGGAGCAAAAGUGUUAAGUGGACCGCCUGGGAAGUACGGUCGCAAGGCUA
Molecule: ribosomal RNA, 377 nt
Filed under: uncultured bacterium
Lineage: Bacteria
Description: bacterial SSU rRNA
Rfam family: Bacterial small subunit ribosomal RNA
Source: RNAcentral